This 398-nucleotide ribosomal RNA is filed under the name uncultured bacterium. Its description in RNAcentral is "partial 16S ribosomal RNA". It matches the Rfam family "Bacterial small subunit ribosomal RNA", at positions 523 to 918 of the family's 1533-position model. The record is from RNAcentral.
AUACGUAGGGUGCGAGCGUUGUCCGGAAUUACUGGGCGUAAAGAGCUCGUUGGUGGUUUGUCGCGUCGUCUGUGAAAUUCCGGGGCUUAACUCCGGGCGUGCAGGCGAUACGGGCAUAACUUGAGUACUGUAGGGGAGACUGGAAUUCCUGGUGUAGCGGUGAAAUGCGCAGAUAUCAGGAGGAACACCGGUGGCGAAGGCGGGUCUCUGGGCAGUAACUGACGCUGAGGGGCGAAAGCAUGGGUAGCGAACAGGAUUAGAUACCCUGGUAGUCCAUGCCGUAAACGGUGGGCGCUAGGUGUAGGGGUCUUCCACGACUUCUGUGCCGUAGCUAACGCAUUAAGCGCCCCGCCUGGGGAGUACGGCCGCAAGGCUAAAACUCAAAGGAAUUGACGGGG